RNAcentral lists this ribosomal RNA (531 nucleotides) under Sclerotinia sclerotiorum. RNAcentral's name for it is "eukaryotic LSU rRNA". The stretch from base 188 to 341 matches the Rfam family "5.8S ribosomal RNA". Lineage: Eukaryota; Fungi; Ascomycota; Leotiomycetes; Helotiales; Sclerotiniaceae. The record is from RNAcentral.
ACAAGGUUUCCGUAGGUGAACCUGCGGAAGGAUCAUUACAGAGUUCAUGCCCGAAAGGGUAGACCUCCCACCCUUGUGUAUUAUUACUUUGUUGCUUUGGCGAGCUGCUCUUCGGGGCCUUGUAUGCUCGCCAGAGAAUAUCAAAACUCUUUUUAUUAAUGUCGUCUGAGUACUAUAUAAUAGUUAAAACUUUCAACAACGGAUCUCUUGGUUCUGGCAUCGAUGAAGAACGCAGCGAAAUGCGAUAAGUAAUGUGAAUUGCAGAAUUCAGUGAAUCAUCGAAUCUUUGAACGCACAUUGCGCCCCUUGGUAUUCCGGGGGGCAUGCCUGUUCGAGCGUCAUUUCAACCCUCAAGCUCAGCUUGGUAUUGAGUCCAUGUCAGUAAUGGCAGGCUCUAAAAUCAGUGGCGGCGCCGCUGGGUCCUGAACGUAGUAAUAUCUCUCGUUACAGGUUCUCGGUGUGCUUCUGCCAAAACCCAAAUUUUCUAUGGUUGACCUCGGAUCAGGUAGGGAUACCCGCUGAACUUAAGCA